GAUGAACGCUGGCGGCGUGCCUAAUACAUGCAAGUCGAGCGAACAGACGAGGAGCUUGCUCCUCUGACGUUAGCGGCGGACGGGUGAGUAACACGUGGAUAACCUACCUAUAAGACUGGGAUAACUUCGGGAAACCGGAGCUAAUACCGGAUAAUAUAUUGAACCGCAUGGUUCAAUAGUGAAAGACGGUUUUGCUGUCACUUAUAGAUGGAUCCGCGCCGCAUUAGCUAGUUGGUAGGGUAACGGCUUACCAAGGCAACGAUGCGUAGCCGACCUGAGAGGGUGAUCAGCCACACUGGAACUGAGACACGGUCCAGACUCCUACGGGAGGCAGCAGUAGGGAAUCUUCCGCAAUGGGCGAAAGCCUGACGGAGCAACGCCGCGUGAGUGAUGAAGGUCUUCGGAUCGUAAAACUCUGUUAUUAGGGAAGAACAAAUGUGUAAGUAACUAUGCACGUCUUGACGGUACCUAAUCAGAAAGCCACGGCUAACUACGUG
RNAcentral lists this ribosomal RNA (497 nucleotides) under uncultured bacterium. Its description in RNAcentral is "partial 16S ribosomal RNA". It matches the Rfam family "Bacterial small subunit ribosomal RNA", at positions 28 to 507 of the family's 1533-position model. The record is from RNAcentral.